RNAcentral lists this ribosomal RNA (162 nucleotides) under Pfaffia gnaphalioides. RNAcentral's name for it is "5.8S ribosomal RNA". It matches the Rfam family "5.8S ribosomal RNA". Rfam says of the family: 5.8S ribosomal RNA (5.8S rRNA) is a component of the large subunit of the eukaryotic ribosome. It is transcribed by RNA polymerase I as part of the 45S precursor that also contains 18S and 28S rRNA. Lineage: Eukaryota; Viridiplantae; Streptophyta; Magnoliopsida; Caryophyllales; Amaranthaceae. The record is from RNAcentral.
AAACGACUCUCGGCAACGGAUAUCUCGGCUCUCGCAUCGAUGAAGAACGUAGCAAAAUGCGAUACUUGGUGUGAAUUGCAGAAUCCCGUGAACCAUCGAGUUUUUGAACGCAAGUUGCGCCCGAAGCCUUUUGGCCAGGGCACGUCUGCCUGGGCGUCACGC